This 186-nucleotide unclassified non-coding RNA is filed under the name uncultured Cortinarius. Its description in RNAcentral is "sequence contains ITS2". The record is from RNAcentral. Lineage: Eukaryota; Fungi; Basidiomycota; Agaricomycetes; Agaricales; Cortinariaceae.
AUAUAUAUAUCAACCUUCUCUUGUUGGAGUGGUUUGGAUGUGGGGGUUUGCUGGCCUCUUAAAAGGUUCAGCUCCCUUGAAAUGCAUUAGCAGAACGGACCUGUUCAUUGGUGUGAUAACUAUCUACGCUAUUGAAUGUGAGGGGAUGUUCAGCUUUCUAACUGUCCUUGGACAAUUUAUCAUUUU